GGCUGGAUAGCUCAGUUGGUAGAGCACUGGAAUGGCAAUCGGGAGGUCGCAGGUUCAAACCCUGCUCCAGUCA
RNAcentral lists this transfer RNA (73 nucleotides) under Patiria miniata (bat star). RNAcentral describes it as "tRNA-Ala". It matches the Rfam family "tRNA". From Rfam's summary of the family: Transfer RNA (tRNA) molecules are approximately 80 nucleotides in length. Their secondary structure includes four short double-helical elements and three loops (D, anti-codon, and T loops). Further hydrogen bonds mediate the characteristic L-shaped molecular structure. tRNAs have two regions of fundamental functional importance: the anti-codon, which is responsible for specific mRNA codon recognition, and the 3' end, to which the tRNAs corresponding amino acid is attached (by aminoacyl-tRNA synthetases). tRNAs cope with the degeneracy of the genetic code in two manners: having more than one tRNA (with a specific anti-codon) for a particular amino acid; and 'wobble' base-pairing, i.e. permitting non-standard base-pairing at the 3rd anti-codon position. The record is from Rfam by way of RNAcentral. Lineage: Eukaryota; Metazoa; Echinodermata; Asteroidea; Valvatida; Asterinidae.